AUUGAACGCUGGCGGCAUGCCUUACACAUGCAAGUCGAACGGCAGCACGGGAGCAAUCCUGGUGGCGAGUGGCGAACGGGUGAGUAAAGCAUCGGAACGUACCUGGUAGUGGGGGAUAGCCCGGCGAAAGCCGGAUUAAUACCGCAUACGACCUGAGGGUGAAAGCGGGGGAUCGCAAGACCUCGCGCUAUUGGAGCGGCCGAUGUCAGAUGUGCUAGUUGGUGGGGUAAAGGCCUACCAAGGCGACGAUCGGUGGCUGGUCUGAGAGGACGCCCAGCCACACUGGGACGGAGCCACGGCACAGCCCCCGACGGGAGGAAGGAGGGGGGAAUUUUGGACAAGGGGCGAAAGCCUGAUCCAGCCAUGCCGCGUGGGGGAAGAAGGCUUUCGGGUUGUAAACCGUUUUUGUCGGGGAAGAAAUCUUUUGGGUUAAUACCUCGGGAGGAUGACGGUACCUGAAGAAUAAGCACCGGCUAACUACGUGCCAGCCGCCGCCGUAA
Molecule: ribosomal RNA, 500 nt
Filed under: uncultured bacterium
Lineage: Bacteria
Description: partial 16S ribosomal RNA
Rfam family: Bacterial small subunit ribosomal RNA
Source: RNAcentral